GGGAAUGUGGCUUAGUGGUAGAGUGCUUGCUUAGCAUGCAGGAAGCCCUGGGUUCGAUUCCUCAGUACCA
RNAcentral lists this transfer RNA (70 nucleotides) under Dipodomys ordii (Ord's kangaroo rat). It matches the Rfam family "tRNA". From Rfam's summary of the family: Transfer RNA (tRNA) molecules are approximately 80 nucleotides in length. Their secondary structure includes four short double-helical elements and three loops (D, anti-codon, and T loops). The record is from Rfam by way of RNAcentral. Lineage: Eukaryota; Metazoa; Chordata; Mammalia; Rodentia; Heteromyidae.